This 226-nucleotide unclassified non-coding RNA is filed under the name plant metagenome. RNAcentral describes it as "partial contains small subunit ribosomal RNA and internal transcribed spacer 1". The stretch from base 1 to 46 matches the Rfam family "Eukaryotic small subunit ribosomal RNA", at positions 1786 to 1831 of the family's 1831-position model. The record is from RNAcentral.
AAGUCGUAACAAGGUUUCCGUAGGUGAACCUGCGGAAGGAUCAUUGCAAAUCGAAAAGUGGGUGAGUGGGGAGGAGUGGGGGAGCGGUGGUGGUGAGGAGCAAGCUCUUCUCGCCACUCGCCACCUCCACUCGCACCACGCCCGCCGACAUUUGGUCGGGACUUGUCCCGGAUCAUAUUCACGCUUGUGCUGUUUGCCAGAGUGACAGUAAUCACAAUAAUGACAA